Molecule: small nuclear RNA, 136 nt
Organism: Clupea harengus (Atlantic herring)
Lineage: Eukaryota; Metazoa; Chordata; Actinopteri; Clupeiformes; Clupeidae
Product: U11 spliceosomal RNA
Source: Ensembl
AAAAAGGGUAUCUGCCAUGACUGGCACAGGGAGGAAAGGGACACUCUGACCUCCUUGCGGAAUCGAUAUCAAGAGAUUUCGGAUGCAGAAUUUUUGUCACUCGGGGCUGCUGAUGAUCGUUCAUCUCGGCGCCCCA